GAUCCCAAAGAUCUUGAUAACAUAACACAAUUUUUAUCUGCUUGCACAAAUUCUCAUAAUUGUUGUUCUUGAGAAUCAAAAGAUUUGCUGGAAAAUGUCCGUUUGGAUGAUUCGUUGCCAUGGUAAUUUUCUUCCCACGAAUCGAUUAAACCGUAGCUCUUGAUACCAGAUGUUGGAAAUCCCCCAAAAUCUAUGGAGAAUUUCAAUCAAUCUUGAUAAACAAGAUUGUUA
RNAcentral lists this long non-coding RNA (231 nucleotides) under Lathyrus oleraceus (garden pea). Its description in RNAcentral is "Pisum sativum (pea) long non-coding RNA (PSAT_LNC008046)". The record is from RNAcentral. Lineage: Eukaryota; Viridiplantae; Streptophyta; Magnoliopsida; Fabales; Fabaceae.